UUAAAUGUCUUUGGUGCAUAUUUGCAAUUAGGUUUGAAUGAACAUAAGAACAUAAGUGAGUAUUACUAAUGUCCAUGUCAUACUCUUACCUUUGCAGGACCGUAGGGUAAUUUUAUCUCCUUAUAAGCCAGAGAGUAUGCCAUCUUUUUCUCUGCUUUACUUUCUCCCUAUUUUAUGGAGCAUCACUCCAUAGUACACUCAUAGUAUAAGAACACUGGAAAUGAUCUGAGCCUAUAUCUCAGGUGUAGCUGUCCCCCACUCCCAUCCCCUCAUUUUCUUUUAGGUGCUAACUUCAUUCUUUUCAACUUCCUUUGAAGUAGCUGAUGCUUUCAGGUGAUGCCAUUGGUUUGAUGAGGAAGCCUAAAUCGUUGAAUAUAAUAUCAUUGCCAUUCUUCAGGGUGUCUGCUGGUUGCCUAGAGGGAUGAUGGAGGAAUUCUUUCCUUCUUAGGUAUAAUUUGUCUCCUGGGGUGCUUUAGAAGAAGAUUUCACCUUCCUUUGAAUCACUGGAGAUUGCUGAAGACAGGCAUAGGUGGUCAACAGCAGAAGCCCAGAGUGCAAGUGAAGUGUUAUUAUUUCUUAGCAGGGCUUGAAGUCAGCAAAGAUCCAGAAUUGCUGAAGCCAAAGCUGUGAUGGCCUGCCAAAUCUGCUCUUAGCCUCGCCCUGCGAGAGGAAAUUACCACCUAUAUCUCAUGCUGUUUUCCAUCUUGCUUUCUUUUGUGGCACUUCAAGCAUUACACUGUAUUAAGUACUCCAUGCGCUCCUCAACAGACUAGUUGAGGGAAAAGAUCUGUAAAAAGCUUUGUAUUAAACAAGUGAAGACAAGAGGAACACAACACACUAGAGACACUGGUAAACGAACAAAGGCCUUAUCCAAACAUAUGUCUAUAGCCAUCCUCAAAUGAUUAAAGGAUCUCAAUUUUUUCACUUUGGAGGAAUGGAGGAACAAGCAGUGUUUAAAUCUUUAAACAGUAAGACUUGUGGUCUCACCCUUUAUUGAUUCAGGUACUAUUUAUCUCCUUGUAUAUUUCCCCACAACUAAACAAAAAUGGUUCCUAUUAUAUUCUAUUCCUUUUAGGAAAAAAAUCAAACAUACCCUGCCUGGGAGGAAAGCCAAAAUGUUGAAAAGAUAUGAUGAAUGAGAGUAGACAUUCACUGAAACAGAAGCACUGAACAAAAAAGCAAAGCAUCAGCAUGGUAAUGCUUUUAUUUUCACUAACAAAUCUGAAGUCUGCCGCUUAUUAAGGCAUAAUAAUUUAUUUUUUUUUUCAGCUUAACAUUUAAAUCCAUAUAAACUGAA
RNAcentral lists this long non-coding RNA (1297 nucleotides) under Anas platyrhynchos platyrhynchos (common mallard). RNAcentral's name for it is "lncRNA (ENSAPLG00000022225.1)". Lineage: Eukaryota; Metazoa; Chordata; Aves; Anseriformes; Anatidae. The record is from RNAcentral.